GUCCACGCCUUAAACGAUGGAUGUUCGGUGUCGGCCCGCAAGGGUCGGUGCCUGAGCUAACGCGUUAAACAUCCCACCUGGGGAGUACGAUCGCAAGGUUGAAACUCAAAGGAAUUGACGGGGCCCGCACAAGCAGUGGAGCAUGUGGUUCAAUUCGAUGCAACGCGAAGAACCUUACCUGGGUUUGAAAGGCUCUGUAAACCGGUGAAAGCCGGCUAGUGUAGCAAUACACGCGGAGUACAGGUGCUGCAUGGCUGUCGU
Molecule: ribosomal RNA, 261 nt
Filed under: uncultured bacterium
Lineage: Bacteria
Description: partial 16S ribosomal RNA
Rfam family: Bacterial small subunit ribosomal RNA
Source: RNAcentral